AGCGAACGCUGGCGGCAGGCUUAACACAUGCAAGUCGAACGGGCGUAGCAAUACGUCAGUGGCAGACGGGUGAGUAACGCGUGGGAACGUACCCUUUUGGUUCGGAACAACCCAGGGAAACUUGGGCUAAUACCCGGGAUAAGCCCUUACGGGGAAAGAUUUAUCGCCGAAAGAUCGGCCCGCGUCUGAUUAGCUAGUUGGUGUGGUAACGGCGCACCAAGGCGACGAUCAGUAGCUGGUCUGAGAGGAUGAUCAGCCACAUUGGGACUGAGACACGGCUCAAACUCCUACGGGAGGCAGCAGU
Molecule: ribosomal RNA, 304 nt
Filed under: uncultured bacterium
Lineage: Bacteria
Description: bacterial SSU rRNA
Rfam family: Bacterial small subunit ribosomal RNA
Source: RNAcentral